CAAUAGCGUAUAUUUAAGUUGCUGCAGUUAAAAAGCUCGUAGUUGGAUUUCGGGUGGGAAUGGCCGGUCCGCCGUUUGGUGUGCACUGGUUGGUUUUAACUUCCUGUAGAGGACGUGCUCUGGGUUUAACGACCUGGACUCGGAGUCUACGUGGUUACUUUGAAAAAAUUAGAGUGUUCAAAGCGGGCUUACGCUUGAAUAUUUCAGCAUGGAAUAACACUAUAGGACUCCUGUCCUAUUUCGUUGGUCUCGGGACGGGAGUAAUGAUUAAGAGGAACAGUUGGGGGCAUUCGUAUUUCAUUGUCAGAGGUGAAAUUCUUGGAUUUAUGAAAGACGAACUUCUGCGAAAGCAUUUGCCAAGGAUGUUUUCAUUAA
RNAcentral lists this ribosomal RNA (375 nucleotides) under uncultured eukaryote. RNAcentral describes it as "partial 18S ribosomal RNA". It matches the Rfam family "Eukaryotic small subunit ribosomal RNA", at positions 592 to 976 of the family's 1831-position model. The record is from RNAcentral.